GAUGAACGCUGGCGGCGUGCCUAAUACAUGCAAGUCGAGCGAACGGACGAGAAGCUUGCUUCUCUGAUGUUAGCGGCGGACGGGUGAGUAACACGUGGAUAACCUACCUAUAAGACUGGGAUAACUUCGGGAAACCGUAGCUAAUACCGGAUAAUAUUUUGAACCGCAUGGUUCAAAAGUGAAAGACGGUCUUGCUGUCACUUAUAGAUGGAUCCGCGCUGCAUUAGCUAGUUGGUAAGGUAACGGCUUACCAAGGCAACGAUGCAUAGCCGACCUGAGAGGGUGAUCGGCCACACUGGAACUGAGACACGGUCCAGACUCCUACGGGGGGCAGCAGUAGGGAAUCUUCCGCAAUGGGCGAAAGCCUGACGGAGCAACGCCGCGUGAGUGAUGAAGGUCUUCGGAUCGUAAAACCCUGUUAUUAGGGAAGAACAUAUGUGUAAGUAACUGUGCACAUCUUGACGGUACCUAAUCAGAAAGCCACGGCUAACUACGUG
RNAcentral lists this ribosomal RNA (497 nucleotides) under uncultured bacterium. Its description in RNAcentral is "partial 16S ribosomal RNA". It matches the Rfam family "Bacterial small subunit ribosomal RNA", at positions 28 to 507 of the family's 1533-position model. The record is from RNAcentral.